GCGGGUAUCGUAUAGUGGUUAUUACAUGGGCUUCCCAAGCCCAGGAGGCGGGUUCGAUUCCCGCUACCCGCUCCA
Molecule: transfer RNA, 75 nt
Filed under: Rhabdonatronobacter sediminivivens
Lineage: Bacteria; Pseudomonadati; Pseudomonadota; Alphaproteobacteria; Rhodobacterales; Paracoccaceae
Description: Rhodobacteraceae bacterium 2376 tRNA-Gly
Rfam family: tRNA
About the family: Transfer RNA (tRNA) molecules are approximately 80 nucleotides in length.
Source: RNAcentral